Molecule: long non-coding RNA, 1097 nt
Filed under: Marmota monax (woodchuck)
Lineage: Eukaryota; Metazoa; Chordata; Mammalia; Rodentia; Sciuridae
Source: RNAcentral
GCAUUUAGGAGCUGAGGGUAUAGCUCAGUGAAAGAGUGUGUGCUCAGCAUGUGGGAGGCCCUGGGUUCCAUUGCCAUCAAAAAUAAAAAAGAUGGGCUGGGGAUGUGGCUCAAGCGGUAGCGCUCUCGCCUGGCAUGUGUGGGGCACUGGGUUUGAUCCUCAGCACCACAUAAAAAUAAAAUGAAGAUGUUGUGUCACUGAAAACUAAAAACUAAAUAUUAAAAAAAAUUUCUCUUAAAAAAAAUAAAAUAAAAAAGGUGGUGGUGGAAGAAAUUAGAAAUAUUUAGCAUAGCAACAUAUUACGUUUUCAGAUAUUUUGUGUUUUUCAUAAUUUCAUGAAAGGUUAAUCUGCUGCUGCAUCCUAUGGGGAAGUGGUAUGUGUGAGACUUAAGACCGGAGCUCUAGAAGGCAGGAGCUCACAGCUUACAUAAAAAUCUUUUCAGUGGGUUGGGCUAUAGCUCAGUUGACUGAGUGCUUGACUUGCAUGUACAAGGCCCCUGGGUUCAAUCCCCAGCACCAAAAACAAAAAAUGUUUAAUGAGAGGGCUUCUGAAAAGGCUCUCAACAGCUCUUCUCUGAAUCCUACUAUUAGAGGCUCUCCUCACUUCAUUGUCACCUGUGUGUUCCCAAGCUCCCCCAGACUUUUCCUUAGAGCCAGAGCCAUGCAGAACCCAGCAAGCUGGCCUGGGAUGGGUAUGCAUCCCUUCUACCUGGGACAGUCCACAAGUGCAGAUUUUCUUUGAAGACUCAUUCUUUAUCUGAAUUUUACCUUUUUGUGAUAUUCCAGCUUGCUUUCAUGUAAAAAAUUAUUCUUUUAAAGCUUAUUGCUGAAUAAGAUUGAUGUUCUGAAAAUGUCACUUGUUUUUCUUGGAGCUUUGUGUAUUCUCUAUCACAGUCUAUAAUCCCAGGGUUAUAAUGGCCCCUGUUUGAGAAAUCUAACUAUGUAUUUCAGGCCAGCUGUAUUUUAAACAGUCUUUGUAGACUGGUCUGGGAACCUAAUCAGCAUUUAUAACAUUUUGAUGAAAAAAUGCAUUUACAUUCUAAAUAAAUAAUUUACCUGCAAGCUUGGCAAAACCGUUUCCCAGUUUACAUUGUAAG